Daucus carota subsp. sativus is the source of this 160-nucleotide non-coding RNA. The record is from Rfam. Lineage: Eukaryota; Viridiplantae; Streptophyta; Magnoliopsida; Apiales; Apiaceae.
UUACAUACCUGGACGGGGUCAAUGGGUGAUCAUGAAGGCUCAUGGCCUAGGCAAGUGGCCUUCAUUGCACCUCUCGAAGGUGCACUAGCCUAACAUCUCCUUAUGGAGACUGUACGUCUUAAUUUCUGGUAGUGGGGGCCUGCGCUUGCGCGGCCCCUUC